This 427-nucleotide ribosomal RNA is filed under the name uncultured bacterium. Its description in RNAcentral is "bacterial SSU rRNA". It matches the Rfam family "Bacterial small subunit ribosomal RNA", at positions 355 to 774 of the family's 1533-position model. The record is from RNAcentral.
CGGGGAAUUUUGGACAAUGGGCGCAAGCCUGAUCCAGCAAUGCCGCGUGCAGGAUGAAGGCCUUCGGGUUGUAAACUGCUUUUGUACGGAGCGAAAAGGUCUGCCCUAAUACGGUGGGCUCAUGACGGUACCGUAAGAAUAAGCACCGGCUAACUACGUGCCAGCAGCCGCGGUAAUACGUAGGGUGCGAGCGUUAAUCGGAAUUACUGGGCGUAAAGCGUGCGCAGGCGGUUAUAUAAGACAGAUGUGAAAUCCCCGGGCUCAACCUGGGACCUGCAUUUGGGACUGUAUAGCUAGAGUACGGUAGAGGGGGAUGGAAUUCCGCGUGUAGCAGUGAAAGGCGUAGAUAUGAGGAGGAACACCGAUGGCGAAGGCAAUCCCCUGGACCUGUACUGACGCUCAUGCACGAAAGCGUGGGGAGCAAACA